Molecule: long non-coding RNA, 1020 nt
Organism: Carassius carassius (crucian carp)
Lineage: Eukaryota; Metazoa; Chordata; Actinopteri; Cypriniformes; Cyprinidae
Exons: 5
Source: RefSeq, a predicted model, not a curated record
GUCUAUCACAGAUAUAUGACAGAGGAGACUGACUCUUGUCUGGAUGUUACAGGGACAGAUUAUGUUUAUCUGCUGUAGAGUAACUGAUGAAGGAAUGCUGCCAUCAAAGGAUUUGUAUCUUUUGUGGUGGAGCAGGACCUGCAAGGAAAGGUGAAAAAGGGGGUAAACCUGAAACAAAAGAAUAAUGUAAUGACUUUUUGUAUUGUGUAUGUGUAUUUUUGUAGGGCAUGAAAAUGUCUGUAGACUGGUGUGUGCACUGAGGAUGGAGAAGACCACAGCAUCAUCCUGGAAAUGAUCGAGAGUCACAGAUGAGACGCUCCAUCACUCCAGCUCUUACUGUCUCAUCAGGACCAGAUCCUGCUGUGGUGUCUUCAUCCUCAGUGACCCCAGAGCCAGUGAGAGCAUCAAGAGAAAGACCACAAGACACUGAGGAUGUGAUUUUGGGGCCUACAAUCCCCUGAUCAACCUGGAGAAGAGAGCCUUGCUCAAGGACACACUGGUGUUCCUGUGGCUCAAGUGGUAGAGCAUUGCGUUAGCAGUGCAAGGUUGAGGGUUCGAAUACCAGGGAACACAUGUUAAGUAGUCGUGCUCAUGGGGUGCAGGCACACGAAAGUUUGGAGCAGACACAGCAGUCAGAUUGUCCUGCACGUGUUCUUCUGCUCUCGCUUUAAAGUUGUGUGGUUCAGAGAGCCGUCAUCAAGGUCUUCUUCAUCCUGUUGCUCAACCACAUCCCCGUUGAAAAGAGUGCGAUUGUGAAGCGCAGCAGCAGAACUGUAUCAGCUGUGUUCAGAUGGCAGGAGGAUGUUGGGUUCACAAUCUAAAAUAAAUUUGGCUUCUUUUACUAAAAUGUCAUUUCAAGAAAAAAAAUUAUAUAAUUAUUGGUUGGCAUUUAUCGUUAUUAUUGCAUGGUAAGUGUUGGGGUGGCCAAAAGAUGCAAUUCAUUAUGGGGUAAUGUUCAUUUUCGAGUGGUAAUACUUACAUUUUUAGAGUGUCAAAUCAACAGUCUUCUCCAAAGGUGAG